UACGUAGGGGGCAAGCGUUGUCCGGAAUCAUUGGGCGUAAAGAGCGUGUAGGCGGCUCGGUAAGUCCGCUGUGAAAGUCCAGGGCUCAACCCUGGAAUGCCGGUGGAAACUGUCGAGCUAGAGUCCGGAAGAGGCGAGUGGAAUUCCUGGUGUAGCGGUGAAAUGCGCAGAUAUCAAGGAGGAACACCAAUGGCGAAGGCAGCUCGCUGGGACGGUACUGACACUGAGGCGCGAAAGCGUGGGGGAGCGAACAGG
RNAcentral lists this ribosomal RNA (255 nucleotides) under uncultured bacterium. RNAcentral's name for it is "partial 16S ribosomal RNA". It matches the Rfam family "Bacterial small subunit ribosomal RNA", at positions 524 to 776 of the family's 1533-position model. The record is from RNAcentral.